Molecule: long non-coding RNA, 110 nt
Organism: Pelobates fuscus (common spadefoot toad)
Lineage: Eukaryota; Metazoa; Chordata; Amphibia; Anura; Pelobatidae
Exons: 3
Source: RefSeq, a predicted model, not a curated record
GGUUCGGAGGGGGAUCGGGCUACAUACACACUGGAUUACCACAGCCAGCGGAAGAUUUCGGGAUUCCUGGACAGUGCAGUCGCAGUAUGGAGAGAGACGCUGAGUCAGUU